This 496-nucleotide ribosomal RNA is filed under the name uncultured bacterium. Its description in RNAcentral is "partial 16S ribosomal RNA". It matches the Rfam family "Bacterial small subunit ribosomal RNA", at positions 29 to 507 of the family's 1533-position model. The record is from RNAcentral.
AUGAACGCUGGCGGCGUGCCUAAUACAUGCAAGUCGAGCGAACGGGCGAGAAGCUUGCUUUUCUGAUGUUAGCGGCGGACGGGUGAGUAACACGUGGAUAACCUACCUAUAAGACUGGGAUAACUUCGGGAAACCGGAGCUAAUACCGGAUAAUAUUUUGAACCGCAUGGUUCAAAAGUGAAAGACGGUCUUGCUGUCACUUAUAGAUGGAUCCGCGCUGCAUUAGCUAGUUGGUAAGGUAACGGCUUACCAAGGCAACGAUGCAUAGCCGACCUGAGAGGGUGAUCGGCCACACUGGAACUGAGACACGGUCCAGACUCCUACGGGAGGCAGCAGUAGGGAAUCUUCCGCAAUGGGCGAAAGCCUGACGGAGCAACGCCGCGUGAGUGAUGAAGGUCUUCGGAUCGUAAAACUCUGUUAUUAGGGAAGAACAUAUGUGUAAGUAACUGUGCACAUCUUGACGGUACCUAAUCAGAAAGCCACGGCUAACUACGUG